Long non-coding RNA from Dipodomys ordii (Ord's kangaroo rat), 423 nucleotides. RefSeq lists it as uncharacterized. NCBI's taxonomy places the organism in Eukaryota, Metazoa, Chordata, Mammalia, Rodentia, Heteromyidae. The transcript is spliced from 3 exons. The record is from RefSeq and is a predicted model, not a curated record.
AAAUCUGCCAUAGAGCGAGCUAUUCAUCACGAACAAGAUGUGCUGAAGGAGCUUAUCAAAGCUUGGAAAAAUGCAGAAAUUUGGCUUUGAACUGGUACUUUUCACUUGGUAUUCUGCAGAAAAUCACACUAAGGUGGUAUUUUCAGACUGAAAUGUACAUAAGUGUUCUACUGUAAUUUGACUUCUUACUAUGGAUUGUGCCAGUUUUCGUGGAAAUUAACUAAUUUACUAAUCUCAAGAAACGAAUUCACCUUUACAGAAGAGGAAACUAAUUCAGAGGGAUAAAUCAACUUGUCCAGGUCCAUGGAAACAGUUAUCCAGUCAGUAAGCUGGUGGUAAGCUGGAUAAUGGCUCACGAAGUUUCAGCGAAUGUUAUACCAGCAGAAACCCUGCCAGCUUGGACUGAAAAUGACUGAGAGGAUA